GCCUGGCUGGCUCAGCUGGAACAGCAUAUGACUCUUAAUCUCAGGGCCAUGAGUUCAAGCCCCAUGCUGGGUG
This 73-nucleotide transfer RNA is filed under the name Mustela putorius furo (domestic ferret). It matches the Rfam family "tRNA". From Rfam's summary of the family: Transfer RNA (tRNA) molecules are approximately 80 nucleotides in length. Their secondary structure includes four short double-helical elements and three loops (D, anti-codon, and T loops). The record is from Rfam by way of RNAcentral. Lineage: Eukaryota; Metazoa; Chordata; Mammalia; Carnivora; Mustelidae.